This 468-nucleotide ribosomal RNA is filed under the name uncultured bacterium. Its description in RNAcentral is "partial 16S ribosomal RNA". It matches the Rfam family "Bacterial small subunit ribosomal RNA", at positions 28 to 507 of the family's 1533-position model. The record is from RNAcentral.
GACGAACGCUGGCGGCGUGCUUAACACAUGCAAGUCGAACGGAAAGGCCCUGCUUUUGUGGGGUGCUCGAGUGGCGAACGGGUGAGUAACACGUGAGUAACCUGCCCUUGACUUUGGGAUAACUUCAGGAAACUGGGGCUACUACCGGAUAGGAGCUCCGGCUGCCUGGUGGGGGGUGGAAUGUUUCGGCGGUUGGGGAUGGACUCGCGGCUUAUCAGCUUGUUGGUGGGGUAGUGGCUCACCAAGGCUUUGACGGGUAGCCGGCCUGAGAGGGUGACCGGCCACAUUGGGACUGAGAUACGGCCCCGACUCCUACGGGAGGCAGCAGUGGGGAAUAUUGCACAAUGGGCGGAAGCCUGAUGCAGCAACGCCGCGUGCGGGAUGAAGGCCUUCGGGUUGUAAACCGCUUUCGCCUGUGACGAAGCGUGAGUGACGGUAAUGGGUAAAGAAGCACCGGCUAACUACGUG